Molecule: small RNA, 1161 nt
Filed under: Xanthomonas citri pv. malvacearum
Lineage: Bacteria; Pseudomonadati; Pseudomonadota; Gammaproteobacteria; Lysobacterales; Lysobacteraceae
Description: bacterial LSU rRNA
Rfam family: Bacterial large subunit ribosomal RNA (bases 631-1161)
Source: RNAcentral
UGAGGAAAUUGGGGUAUUUGUUGCCCGAAGCAGGUAGCUUAACCUUCGGGAGGGCGCUUGCCACGGUGUGGCCGAUGACUGGGGUGAAGUCGUAACAAGGUAGCCGUAUCGGAAGGUGCGGCUGGAUCACCUCCUUUUGAGCAUGACGUCAUCGUCCUGUCGGGCGUCCUCACAAAUUACCUGCAUUCAGAGAUGCGUAUCGGCACAGGCCGGUAUGCGAAAGUCCCAUCAUGGGGCCUUAGCUCAGCUGGGAGAGCACCUGCUUUGCAAGCAGGGGGUCGUCGGUUCGAUCCCGACAGGCUCCACCAUUUGAGUGAAACGACUUUGGGUCUGUAGCUCAGGUGGUUAGAGCGCACCCCUGAUAAGGGUGAGGUCGGUGGUUCGAGUCCUCCCAGACCCACCACUCUGAAUGUAGUGCACACUUAAGAAUUUAUAUGGAUCAGCGUUGAGGCUGAGACAUGUUCUUUUAUAACUUGUGACGUAGCGAGCGUUUGAGAUAUCUAUCUAAACGUGUCGUUGAGGCUAAGGCGGGGACUUCGAGUCCCUAAAUAAUUGAGUCGUAUGUUCGCGUUGGUGGCUUUGUACCCCACACAACACGACAGAUAGCUCCGAGGCAACUUGGGGUUAUAUGGUCAAGCGAAUAAGCGCACACGGUGGAUGCCUAGGCGGUCAGAGGCGAUGAAGGACGUGGUAGCCUGCGAAAAGUGUCGGGGAGCUGGCAACAAGCUUUGAUCCGGCAAUAUCCGAAUGGGGAAACCCACUGCUUCGGCAGUAUCCUGCAGUGAAUUCAUAGCUGCUGGAAGCGAACCCGGUGAACUGAAAUAUCUAAGUAACCGGAGGAAAAGAAAUCAACCGAGAUUCCCUAAGUAGUGACGAGCGAACGGGGAGCAGCCCUUAAGCUGGAAUGGCUUUAGAAAAACAAUCUGGAAAGAUUGGCCAUAGAAGGUGAUAGCCCUGUAUUUAAAAGGGCCACUCCAGUGAAGACGAGUAGGGCGGGGCACGUGAAACCCUGUCUGAAUAUGGGGGGACCAUCCUCCAAGGCUAAACUACUCCUGACCGACGAUAGUGACCAGUACUGUCGAGGAGUGUAUAAAUGACUCACGUGGAGGCGAGCUGCAAUGGAUCUGCAGAUCGUGUGGUCAGAGGCGCGCCGGGGACACA